UCUUGUUUCCGAUCAAAGAGCGAAGGUCUGUCACUGCAAUAUUGGUCAAGAAAUCAAUCGGAGAGUUGAAUAUUCAUAUCUAGGGGAGUAUACCAUGGAAGUGUUCGCAUCGUUUCGGUGUCCAAACUAAUAUUCACGGAAUUACCUUUCACAGGUUUCCAAAAGAUACUGUUAAGAGGAGAGAGUGGGAAGUCGCUGUCCGGAUGGAAGGGGUUUCUGCCAGGUGGUCUUCCGCACUCUACAGUGAUCAUUUCAAGCCUGAGGACUUGACAGAACAGGUCAGACAGUGAGGAUCAGAGAUGGAGCUAAUCCUUCUGUAUUCAGUUUCCCAGCUCACCUCCAAAGGCCUAUUUAGCCCAGGACAAGUGAGAGUUCAAAGAAAGCUCAAGAGAGUCUGUCAGUGGACUGUUCACAGCUUGUCCAAGACACUGAUGAGCCCCUGCCUGUGUCUAAUGUUGACCACUCCUACCUUCAUCAUGUGAUGAUGUGAGGACCAGACUCAUUGAUGCCUUGGCUGGGGUGGAGAGUCUGGAGAAAAACAAAAGGAAUGCAGUGGCUAGAGAAAGGAGGGCAAAGAACACAGUGCACAGUUUACUAGAGCAUCUUAGAGGGAAGACACUCAUAAAUGAAGACCUGAAAGACAAGCUUGAUUCAUACUCAGGAUGCUGGAAUAAUAAGCCUUCAGCAGCCAGUUCCAUGGUGUGGUGUGGGGUGCUUCGAAGCGCAUCAGGAAAUGUGGUGGUACAAGAUGCGACUGUCUUCCUGUCUGCUCUUGAAAUGUCAUCUUCCCCCACAGCAGAAGAAACCGAAGAGCUUCCAUCCCCUUUCACAAACAUUUCUGCAAUUGAGCGUGACCACAGUUGUCUGCCAACCCGCUUUGGUGGCCUUGUUGACAGGGCCCUAGUCUACAUCUCAGGGUUUGUGUUUCGGCAAAUUUUAAAGAAGCUAUUGUGUGAUGUGUGCCGUGGUAACUUGGUGACUGAUGCUGUACCUGCAUCAUUUGAUCAGAGCUACCACUUACUCAAACUAAAAAACAUAGGGGGGCUAAUGGUUCCAUCUGAGGGAACAGUGAGGGUGUUCAGAUCAGAUGAAUGUUACAUUCACCAGUCUUUGUCCCGACAAGCUGUCAAGCUGUCCUCCAUCAGUCAGUUUGUACGGGCUGAUGUUGGUGCUAAGGAUGUGUUUAGUCUACGUGGCCACAUUCAGGAAACAUGUGGAAAUGACAACCAUGACAAUGUGCUGAUGUCACUUUGUUUGCUGAUGUUUCCGUGUUCCACAAACUAAGACUGCACCACAUUGCCAAACUGAACAUGCUGCAAUUACAGAAAACUUCUGCAACUUCUGUAAAAGAAACAUGUCUAUAGUUUCCAUAACCUGCACGUGUUGUUGUUUUGAAUGAUUUUUGUUGCCUGAAAAUGGCCAAAGAAAUGAAAAGAAAUAUGAGAACAUAUGUUUGGGUUUUGGAUAUGCUGACAUGUCACACCAUCGGGCCAAUCCGUUGGAUGAUGCUUUAGGUAUUUAUGACUGUGAUUAAUUGUCCCCUUUAUUCUUUUGACUUUCCAUCUUCUUCUUUGACUUUUCCUCUCUAGUCCGAUGCCUAGUCAUGUCCGAUCAUGUCACGUCUCUUAUGUCAUGUCAUCCAUUGGGGGUUAAAAAAGUAACAAACUUGUUUUUCCAAUGUAAGGAGUAGAAAGUACAGACACUGUGUACAAAUGUAGGGUUAGCACCUAAUGCAGUGUAAAUAAAGCCUAUAUUUCUUGAUCAGUCCUUUUUUUUCUGAUCAAUAACAUAUUUAUUUUCUUAUCUAAGUACCUAGAUAGAACAAUGUGGUAAUUUUGAUUAUUGUACUGACAGAAUGCAGGAUGUUAAUACAUUUUAAAAUAUUUUUUUUCUUGCAUUCAAGAAGGUAGAUACAGACUUAUUAAGUGCAAAAUGCAGAAGGCAUCACACACUUCAUUACACAACCAUAUUGGCAUCUAAAUGCUGCAACUGGUCAAGAUGGCAACAUUUAAACAUAAUUUUUAAAUUGAUCAUUUUAUACAUAUGUAAAUGCAGUGGUGUGGUGUAUAAAAUAACAUGAAAUAAGAAUGGACAUUGUUUCUACAAGUGCCUCAAAAAUGUGCAGUACAAGAGUAAAUAAACUACUUCUUUGUGUA
Long non-coding RNA from Mugil cephalus (flathead mullet), 2156 nucleotides. RefSeq lists it as uncharacterized. NCBI's taxonomy places the organism in Eukaryota, Metazoa, Chordata, Actinopteri, Mugiliformes, Mugilidae. The record is from RefSeq and is a predicted model, not a curated record. The transcript is spliced from 5 exons.